RNAcentral lists this ribosomal RNA (484 nucleotides) under uncultured bacterium. Its description in RNAcentral is "partial 16S ribosomal RNA". It matches the Rfam family "Bacterial small subunit ribosomal RNA", at positions 30 to 507 of the family's 1533-position model. The record is from RNAcentral.
AUUGAACGCUGGCGGCAGGCCUAACACAUGCAAGUCGAGCGGAUGAAGGGAGCUUGCUCCUGGAUUCAGCGGCGGGCGGGUGAGUAAUGCCUAGGAAUCUGCCUGGUAGUGGGGGAUAACGUCCGGAAACGGGCGCUAAUACCGCAUACGUCCUGAGGGAGAAAGUGGGGGAUCUUCGGACCUCACGCUAUCAGAUGAGCCUAGGUCGGAUUAGCUAGUUGGUGGGGUAAAGGCCUACCAAGGCGACGAUCCGUAACUGGUCUGAGAGGAUGAUCAGUCACACUGGAACUGAGACACGGUCCAGACUCCUACGGGAGGCAGCAGUGGGGAAUAUUGGACAAUGGGCGAAAGCCUGAUCCAGCCAUGCCGCGUGUGUGAAGAAGGUCUUCGGAUUGUAAGGCACUUUAAGUUGGGAGGAAGGGCAGUAAGUUAAUACCUUGCUGUUUUGACGUUACCAACAGAAUAAGCACCGGCUAACUUCGUG